RNAcentral lists this long non-coding RNA (258 nucleotides) under Gossypium barbadense (sea-island cotton). RNAcentral's name for it is "long non-coding RNA (GBAR_LNC008943)". The record is from RNAcentral. Lineage: Eukaryota; Viridiplantae; Streptophyta; Magnoliopsida; Malvales; Malvaceae.
UUGCUCACACGAGCUAUGGAGAAUCCAUAACAAAUGCAGGACCUCAGCAAUCUAUAGGACAUUCAAGACCAGCACUCGAAACAUGAAACCCCUAAUGGCAUGUCAUUUGUAUCCUAAUAAAUCCUAAGGUUCAAACGGGACUCAUUAUCUAUCAACUCAUCAAAGUAUGGAUAUAUUUAUAUAGAUUCAUUUAUGUUAAAACAAUAUAUUAAACCUCCAAUUUAACUAACAUUGAAAUUGUAACACCCCUUACCCGUA